Molecule: ribosomal RNA, 305 nt
Filed under: uncultured bacterium
Lineage: Bacteria
Description: partial 16S ribosomal RNA
Rfam family: Bacterial small subunit ribosomal RNA
Source: RNAcentral
ACAGCAGCAGCCGCGUAAUACGAAGGUCCCAAGCGUUGUUCGGAAUCACUGGGCGUAAAGGGUGCGUAGGUAGUUUGGUAAGUCAGAUGUGAAAUCCCGGGGCUCAACCCCGGAACUGCAUCCGAUACUGCCAGACUAGAGGACUGGAGAGGUGACUGGAAUUCUCGGUGUAGCAGUGAAAUGCGUGGAGAUCGAGAGGAACGCUCGUGGCGUAAGCGAGUCACUGGACAGUAUCUGACGCUGAGGCACGAAGGCCAGGGUAGCGAAAGGGAUUAGAUACCCCAGUAGUCCCUGUCUCUUAUACA